RNAcentral lists this ribosomal RNA (497 nucleotides) under uncultured bacterium. RNAcentral's name for it is "partial 16S ribosomal RNA". It matches the Rfam family "Bacterial small subunit ribosomal RNA", at positions 28 to 507 of the family's 1533-position model. The record is from RNAcentral.
GAUGAACGCUGGCGGCGUGCCUAAUACAUGCAAGUCGAGCGAACAGACGAGGAGCUUGCUCCUCUGACGUUAGCGGCGGACGGGUGAGUAACACGUGGAUAACCUACCUAUAAGACUGGGAUAACUUCGGGAAACCGGAGCUAAUACCGGAUAAUAUAUUGAACCGCAUGGUUCAAUAGUGAAAGACGGUUUUGCUGUCACUUAUAGAUGGAUCCGCGCCGCAUUAGCUAGUUGGUAAGGUAACGGCUUACCAAGGCAACGAUGCGUAGCCGACCUGAGAGAGUGAUCGGCCACACUGGAACUGAGACACGGGCCGGACUCCUACGGGAGGCAGCAGUAGGGAAACUUCCGCAAUGGGCGAAAGCCUGACGGAGCAACGCCGCGUGAGUGAUGAAGGUCUUCGGAUCGUAAAACUCUGUUAUUAGGGAAGAACAAAUGUGUAAGUAACUAUGCACGUCUUGACGGUACCUAAUCAGAAAGCCACGGCUAACUACGUG